This 400-nucleotide ribosomal RNA is filed under the name uncultured bacterium. Its description in RNAcentral is "bacterial SSU rRNA". It matches the Rfam family "Bacterial small subunit ribosomal RNA", at positions 355 to 771 of the family's 1533-position model. The record is from RNAcentral.
UAGGGAAUAUUGCGCAAUGGGCGAAAGCCUGACGCAGCAACACCGCGUGGAGGAUGAAGCAUUUCGGUGUGUAAACUCCUGUCGGCAGGGAAUAAUUUUGACUGUACCUGCAGAGGAAGCAUCGGCUAACUACGUGCCAGCAGCCGCGGUAAGACGUAGGAUGCAAGCGUUGUCCGGAAUUAUUGGGCGUAAAGAGUUCGUAGGUGGUGUCUUAAGUCUGAUGUUAAAGACCGGAGCUCAACUCCGGCAUGGCAUCGGAAACUGGGACGCUAGAGUGCGGAAGAGGUAACUGGAAUUCCAGGUGUAGCGGUGAAAUGCGUAGAUAUCUGGAGGAACACCAGUGGCGAAAGCGAGUUACUGGUCCGCAACUGACGCUGAGGAACGAGAGCUAGGGGAGCAA